AGGUGUCUUUUUUCCAGAAAUGAUUCAUCAUUUCACAAAGACUGUGAAGAGAAAGAUGGAAUUCAGAGAUCACUGCUAGAAUCUGAUGGUACCUCUCUGAGGCAACCCUACCUCCCCUCUGGAUGUUGCAAAGAUGCAGAAAGAUCCUGACGCAAGGCUCCCAGCUCAGUGCCAGGCUUGGAGGCUUACAGAAGAGGCAGCUGUCAUCAACUGACUCACUUUGGAGCCAUGGGAAAAGCUGUGAGAACCAACUGCCAUGUAGACCGUGCCCUAUGAACAACUCUCAACUGAAGAGCAAAGAGCUAGCUGCUUGGUCCGUGGAUGGCAGUUCCACAGGUGAGGGGACAGUCUAUCUGGAAGGCCAUCACUUGGACAGAAGAAGGUAAAAAUGAAUCAGCGUCAUGGGCUAAAAUGCACACUAUUUUCUCAGCAUGAUUGGGGGUUUUACCAGUGGUUUUUUUUUUUCCUGUUUCAAUUUUUACUGACUCAGGGCAGUGGCCAAUGGUCUGACCGUAUGGUCGGGCAGGAAGGCACACUGGAUAUGUUACCUAUUAAAAGGUUGCCCAUGUGGGGCACAGCCCUGUGGAAAUGAAUCUGAGGGGUGCAAUGAAGCAGGACAGGAUCCCAUCAGAACUUCUUCCAGGUUUGGAAGAUCACUUCAACUUUUCAUUCCCCUGUUCGAUGUUGCAAACACAGACGUGGAAACAGGGAUGACUCCUAAGCAAGAAACUCUAGGUAUGGUUUCAAACCUGACAUUACAAAGUUCCUAAGGGCCUACGGGGCAGGAUGUGCCUGCACUCUCUGGGGCAAAACUGGGUGACAGGGAGUGUGGCUACACGUACCAGUGGUGGAGACAGCCCACCAUAGGGAGGCGUCAUUUUGUUGCAUCUCGCUUUACCGCGCGUUGCUGGUACUGCACUUUUUACAAAUGGAAGGUGUGUGGCAACAGUAAGCAAGUGUAUUGGUGCCACAUUUCCAACAGCAUUUGUCACUCUGUCUCCUAAAUACGUAAUUCUCACAAUGUUUCCAACUUUUUCAUUAUUUGUUAGUGAUCUGUGAUCGAUAAUUACAACUUGCUCGAUGCCCAAAUGAAUUUUUUUAGCAGUCAUGUAUUUUUUAAUUGAGGUAUAAACAUCAUAUUGUUUUUUUAAAUAUAAUGCUAAUUUGGGAUAGAGGCAAAUAAGACGGGAAGUAAUGGGAGGAAUAAUUCCAGAAAAAUAAUCACUAAGUAGAAAAUUAAACUUGCCA
Long non-coding RNA from Acinonyx jubatus (cheetah), 1248 nucleotides. RefSeq lists it as uncharacterized. The record is from RefSeq and is a predicted model, not a curated record. Lineage: Eukaryota; Metazoa; Chordata; Mammalia; Carnivora; Felidae. The transcript has 4 exons.